This 249-nucleotide ribosomal RNA is filed under the name uncultured bacterium. RNAcentral's name for it is "partial 16S ribosomal RNA". It matches the Rfam family "Bacterial small subunit ribosomal RNA", at positions 32 to 256 of the family's 1533-position model. The record is from RNAcentral.
AAUCAACGCUGGCGGCGUGCCUCAGACAUGCAAGUCGAACGCGAAAGUUUCCUUCGGGAGAUGAGUAGAGUGGCGCACGGGUGAGUAACACGUGAGUAAUUUACCUUCGGGUGGGGAAUACUAACCGGAAACGGUUGUUAAUACCGCAUAAUGCAGCGGCAUCAAUGAUGACAGUUGUUAAAGCGGGGAUUGGAGCAAUCCGACCUCGCGCCUGAAGAGAAGCNCGCGGCAGAUUAGCUAGUUGUAAGG